RNAcentral lists this ribosomal RNA (610 nucleotides) under Kocuria flava. Its description in RNAcentral is "partial 16S ribosomal RNA". The record is from RNAcentral. Lineage: Bacteria; Bacillati; Actinomycetota; Actinomycetes; Micrococcales; Micrococcaceae.
CCACACCUAGUGCCCAACGUUUACGGCAUGGACUACCAGGGUAUCUAAUCCUGUUCGCUCCCCAUGCUUUCGCUCCUCAGCGUCAGUAACAGCCCAGAGACCUGCCUUCGCCAUCGGUGUUCCUCCUGAUAUCUGCGCAUUUCACCGCUACACCAGGAAUUCCAGUCUCCCCUACUGCACUCUAGUCUGCCCGUACCCACUGCAGACCCGGGGUUGAGCCCCGGGCUUUCACAGCAGACGCGACAAACCGCCUACGAGCUCUUUACGCCCAAUAAUUCCGGACAACGCUUGCGCCCUACGUAUUACCGCGGCUGCUGGCACGUAGUUAGCCGGCGCUUCUUCUGCAGGUACCGUCACUUGUGGCUUCUUCCCUGCUGAAAGAGGUUUACAACCCGAAGGCCGUCAUCCCUCACGCGGCGUCGCUGCAUCAGGCUUGCGCCCAUUGUGCAAUAUUCCCCACUGCUGCCUCCCGUAGGAGUCUGGGCCGUGUCUCAGUCCCAGUGUGGCCGGUCACCCUCUCAGGCCGGCUACCCGUCGUCGCCUUGGUAGGCCAUUACCCCACCAACAAGCUGAUAGGCCGUGAGCCCAUCCAAAACCAGUAAAACCCUUU